GCCUACGGGUGGCAGCAGUGGGGAAUAUUGGACAAUGGGGGCAACCCUGAUCCAGCCAUGCCGCGUGAGUGAUGAAGGCCUUAGGGUUGUAAAGCUCUUUCGCCGGGGACGAUAAUGACGGUACCCGGAGAAGAAGCCCCGGCUAACUUCGUGCCAGCAGCCGCGGUAAUACGAAGGGGGCUAGCGUUGUUCGGAAUUACUGGGCGUAAAGCGCACGCAGGCGGCGCAUUAAGUCAGGGGUGAAAGGCCUGGGCUCAACCCGGGAACUGCCCUUGAGACUGAGACGCUGGAGUACGGAAGAGGGUAGUGGAAUUCCCAGUGUAGAGGUGAAAUUCGUAGAUAUUGGGAGGAACACCGGUGGCGAAGGCGGCUACCUGGACCGAUACUGACGCUGAGGCGCGAAAGCGUGGGGAGCAAACAGGAUUAGAUACCCUUGUAGUC
This 441-nucleotide ribosomal RNA is filed under the name Salmonella enterica subsp. enterica. RNAcentral's name for it is "bacterial SSU rRNA". It matches the Rfam family "Bacterial small subunit ribosomal RNA", at positions 337 to 795 of the family's 1533-position model. Lineage: Bacteria; Pseudomonadati; Pseudomonadota; Gammaproteobacteria; Enterobacterales; Enterobacteriaceae. The record is from RNAcentral.